UACGUAGGGUGCGAGCGUUAAUCGGAAUUACUGGGCGUAAAGCGUGCGCAGGCGGUGAUGUAAGACCGAUGUGAAAUCCCCGGGCUUAACCUGGGAACUGCAUUGGUGACUGCAUCGCUCGAGUAUGGCAGAGGGGGGUAGAAUUCCACGUGUAGCAGUGAAAUGCGUAGAGAUGUGGAGGAACACCGGUGGCGAAGGCGGCAUCCUGGACCAAUUCUGACACUGAGGAGCGAAAGCCAGGGGAGCAAACGGG
This 253-nucleotide ribosomal RNA is filed under the name uncultured bacterium. Its description in RNAcentral is "partial 16S ribosomal RNA". It matches the Rfam family "Bacterial small subunit ribosomal RNA", at positions 524 to 776 of the family's 1533-position model. The record is from RNAcentral.